Molecule: long non-coding RNA, 245 nt
Filed under: Musa acuminata (dwarf banana)
Lineage: Eukaryota; Viridiplantae; Streptophyta; Magnoliopsida; Zingiberales; Musaceae
Description: long non-coding RNA (MACU_LNC004620)
Source: RNAcentral
GGAUAGGGAUAACUAAAUUGCAGCAGCAGUAAGGUAGGAAACCAGAACCUGUUGCAAUUCACGGGAUGAUCCGCGGUGGUGGAAAUGAUGGCAGAAUUUGGCUACGAUCUUUUAAGUAAUUGUGGGAAUUGCUUUAGGCGACUAUGGAGGGCUGAUUGAUGGCUAUGGAAGGGCAGAGAGAUGCCAAGAACCCUGCUCUGACAUCAGGUGUUAGAACCAUUACAUAUUCUAAACUUGGGGUUGAU